RNAcentral lists this transfer RNA (71 nucleotides) under Usnea subfusca. Its description in RNAcentral is "tRNA-Gly". It matches the Rfam family "tRNA". Rfam says of the family: Transfer RNA (tRNA) molecules are approximately 80 nucleotides in length. Their secondary structure includes four short double-helical elements and three loops (D, anti-codon, and T loops). The record is from RNAcentral. Lineage: Eukaryota; Fungi; Ascomycota; Lecanoromycetes; Lecanorales; Parmeliaceae.
ACGGGUAUAGUAUAAUGGUAGUACGUUCGUCUUCCAAACGAAGUGUGCCGAUUCAAAUUCGGCUACCCGUA